RNAcentral lists this ribosomal RNA (458 nucleotides) under uncultured bacterium. Its description in RNAcentral is "partial 16S ribosomal RNA". It matches the Rfam family "Bacterial small subunit ribosomal RNA", at positions 338 to 795 of the family's 1533-position model. The record is from RNAcentral.
CCUACGGGAGGCAGCAGUGAGGAAUAUUGGUCAAUGGGCGAGAGCCUGAACCAGCCAAGUCGCGUGAGGGAGUACUGCCCUAUGGGUUGUAAACCUCUUUUGUCGGGGAGCAAAAGCCGGACGUGUCCGGCUGUGAGAGUACCCGAGGAAAAAGCAUCGGCUAACUCCGUGCCAGCAGCCGCGGUAAUACGGAGGAUGCGAGCGUUAUCCGGAUUUAUUGGGUUUAAAGGGUGCGCAGGUGGAUUUUUAAGUCAGCGGUAAAAUCGUGGGGCUCAACCCCAUCCAGCCGUUGAAACUGGGGAUCUAGAGUGUGCGAGAGGUAUGCGGAAUGCGUGGUGUAGCGGUGAAAUGCAUAGAUAUCACGCAGAACCCCGAUUGCGAAGGCAGCAUACCGGUGCACAACUGACGCUCAGGCACGAAAGCGUGGGUAUCGAACAGGAUUAGAUACCCUUGUAGUC